This 76-nucleotide transfer RNA is filed under the name Actinobacteria bacterium IMCC26256. RNAcentral describes it as "tRNA-Val". It matches the Rfam family "tRNA". From Rfam's summary of the family: Transfer RNA (tRNA) molecules are approximately 80 nucleotides in length. Their secondary structure includes four short double-helical elements and three loops (D, anti-codon, and T loops). Further hydrogen bonds mediate the characteristic L-shaped molecular structure. tRNAs have two regions of fundamental functional importance: the anti-codon, which is responsible for specific mRNA codon recognition, and the 3' end, to which the tRNAs corresponding amino acid is attached (by aminoacyl-tRNA synthetases). tRNAs cope with the degeneracy of the genetic code in two manners: having more than one tRNA (with a specific anti-codon) for a particular amino acid; and 'wobble' base-pairing, i.e. permitting non-standard base-pairing at the 3rd anti-codon position. The record is from RNAcentral. Lineage: Bacteria; Bacillati; Actinomycetota; Actinomycetes.
GGGCGAUUAGCUCAGUGGUUAGAGCACUUCCUCGACACGGAAGGGGUCGGAGGUUCGAGUCCUCUAUCGCCCACCU